This 909-nucleotide ribosomal RNA is filed under the name uncultured bacterium. RNAcentral describes it as "bacterial SSU rRNA". It matches the Rfam family "Bacterial small subunit ribosomal RNA", at positions 33 to 933 of the family's 1533-position model. The record is from RNAcentral.
ACGCUAGCUACAGGCUUAACACAUGCAAGUCGAGGGGAAACGGCAUUUAGUGCUUGCACCGAAUGGACGUCGACCGGCGCACGGGUGAGUAACGCGUAUCCAACCUUCCCAUAACUAAGGGAUAACCUGCCGAAAGGCAGACUAAUACCUUAUGUAAUCCUUUGAUGGCAUCAGAUAAGGAUAAAAGAUUUAUCGGUUAUGGAUGGGGAUGCGUCUGAUUAGCUUGUUGGCGGGGUAACGGCCCACCAAGGCAACGAUCAGUAGGGGUUCUGAGAGGAAGGUCCCCCACAUUGGAACUGAGACACGGUCCAAACUCCUACGGGAGGCAGCAGUGAGGAAUAUUGGUCAAUGGACGGAAGUCUGAACCAGCCAAGUAGCGUGCAGGAUGACGGCCCUAUGGGUUGUAAACUGCUUUUGUAUGGGGAUAAAGUCAAUCACGUGUGAUUGUUUGCAGGUACCAUACGAAUAAGGACCGGCUAAUUCCGUGCCAGCAGCCGCGGUAAUACGGAAGGUUCGGGCGUUAUCCGGAUUUAUUGGGUUUAAAGGGAGCGUAGGCCGGAGAUUAAGUGUGUUGUGAAAUGUAGACGCUCAACGUCUGACUUGCAGCGCAUACUGGUUCCCUUAAGUACGCACAACGUUGGCGGAAUUCGUCGUGUAGCGGUGAAAUGCUUAGAUAUGACGAAGAACUCCGAUUGCGAAGGCAGCUGACGGGAGCGCAACUGACGCUGAAGCUCGAAGGUGCGGGUAUCGAACAGGAUUAGAUACCCUGGUAGUCCGCACAGUAAACGAUGGAUGCCCGCUGUUGGUACCUGGUAUCAGCGGCUAAGCGAAAGCAUUAAGCAUCCCACCUGGGGAGUACGCCGGCAACGGUGAAACUCAAAGGAAUUGACGGGGGCCCGCACAAGCGGA